RNAcentral lists this ribosomal RNA (492 nucleotides) under uncultured bacterium. Its description in RNAcentral is "partial 16S ribosomal RNA". It matches the Rfam family "Bacterial small subunit ribosomal RNA", at positions 29 to 507 of the family's 1533-position model. The record is from RNAcentral.
AGUGAACGCUGGCGGUAGGCCUAACACAUGCGAGUCGAACGGCAGCACAGUAAGAGCUUGCUCUUACGGGUGGCGAGUGGCGGACGGGUGAGGAAUACAUCGGAAUCUACUUUUUCGUGGGGGAUAACGUAGGGAAACUUACGCUAAUACCGCUUACGACCUACGGGUGAAAGCAGGGGAUCUUCGGACCUUGCGCGAUUGAAUGAGCCGAUGUCGGAUUAGCUAGUUGGCGGGGUAAAGGCCCACCAAGGCGACGAUCCGUAGCUGGUCUGAGAGGAUGAUCAGCCACACUGGAACUGAGACACGGUCCAGACUCCUACGGGAGGCAGCAGUGGGGAAUAUUGGACAAUGGGCGCAAGCCUGAUCCAGCCAUACCGCGUGGGUGAAGAAGGCCUUCGGGUUGUAAAGCCCUUUUGUUGGGAAAGAAAAGCAGCAGGUUAAUACCCCGCUGUUCUGACGGUACCCAAAGAAUAAGCACCGGCUAACUUCGUG